UAAAAGAAGCGCUUGGUCCUACACUGCCAU
Molecule: non-coding RNA, 30 nt
Filed under: Mus musculus (house mouse)
Lineage: Eukaryota; Metazoa; Chordata; Mammalia; Rodentia; Muridae
Source: RNAcentral